GAUGAACGCUGGCGGCGUGCCUAAUACAUGCAAGUCGAGCGAACAGACGAGGAGCUUGUUCCUCUGCCGUUAGCGGCGGACGGGCGAGUAACACGUGGAUAACAUACCUAUAUGACUGGGAUAACUUCGGGAAACCGGUGCCAAUACCGGAUAAUAUAUUGAACCGCUUGGUUCAAUAGUGAAAGACGGCUUUGCCGUUACUUUGAGCUGGUUCCGCGCCGCAUUAGCUAGUUGGUAAGGUAACGGCUUACCAAGGCAACGAUGCGUAGCCGACCUGAGAGGGUGAUCGGCCACACUGGAACUGAGACACGGUCCAGACUCCUACGGGAGGCAGCAGUGGGGAAUCUUGCACAAUGGGCGAAAGCCUGACGGAGCAACGCCGCGUGAGUGAUGAAGGUCUUCGGAUCGUAAAACUCUGUUAUUAGGGAAGAACAAAAGUAUAAGUAACUAUGCACGUCUUGACGGUACCUAAUCAGAAAGCCACGGCUAACUACGUG
RNAcentral lists this ribosomal RNA (497 nucleotides) under uncultured bacterium. Its description in RNAcentral is "partial 16S ribosomal RNA". It matches the Rfam family "Bacterial small subunit ribosomal RNA", at positions 28 to 507 of the family's 1533-position model. The record is from RNAcentral.